ACAGGAUCCCCCUCCUGAUCACCCAGAUACAGAACCCCCUCCAUCAUAUAUCAAAGUGGCUCCUCAUUUUAAGCCCCAUUUAACAAACGUGUGGUUCACUGAUGCUUCCACAAAAAGGGAAGGCAAGACAUGGAAGUAUCGAGCAGUAGCAUUACAUAUUGAUUCAGGGGAGCGUAUAAUAACUGAGGGAGAGGGUAGCGCCCAAGUAGGGGAGUUAGUUGCUGUGUGGAGCGUAGUCAUUAAGGAAGCUGAGACAACAGAACCAGUACACAUUUAUACUGACUCCUACGCAGUGUUUAAAGGAUGCACUGAAUGGUUACCGUUUUGGGAACAAAACCAAUGGGCAGUAAACCAAGUGCCAGUGUGGCAACGAGACAAAUGGGAAGAAAUACUGAAUAUCGCCAAGCAGAGAUCUUUCUUGGUAGGCUGGGUUGCUGCACACCAGGCAGGAGACAACCCGGCUCACCUCCUAAAUAGCCAGGUAGAUUCCUUAACAUGUCUAGCCAGUCUUGCCAUCAAUGGUGAAGCAGAGAAAUGGGAACACCUUCUGGAGUGGCUGCAUGUGAAGCGUGGCCAUUCAGGGAGUAAAGACCUGUACAAAGAGACUAUUAGUAGAGGAUGGGCCAUUACCUGAGAAUUAUGUAACACUUAUUUCUGCAUGUGGUCAAUGUUGAGUUCGUUUGGAAAAAUAUAACCCUUUAAAGGAGCAACCCCUACAUUUAAGGAGAAACAAAGGUUUAUGGCAAAUGUGGUAAUUUGACUAUAUUGGCCCCUUUUGGGUAUCAGAGGGAAAACGAUAUGUGUUAGUAGGAGUUGAGGUAGUAUCGGGACUAACACAAGCUGAAGCCGCAUCCAGAGCAACAGGAGAAAAUACAGUGAAAAGUCUUAAAGUAUGGUUUAGCUGCUUACCCAAGCCUCAGUCAAUUCCAUCUGAUAGUGGGAGCCAUUUCACUGCUGGAGUUGUGCAAGAAUGGGCUAAGGGUGAGGAAAUCCAGUGGGUUUUUCACACCCCUUACUACCCUCAAGCUAAUGGUGUGGUGGAGAGAACGAACGGACUUCUAAAACGAGCUCUGAGGCCCCAUGACCCAGGGUGGGCCUCGCGAGUACCAGAAGCAGUAUACCGAAUCAAUAGCCGGUGGGGGGCAAAUGGUUGCCCCCAACUCCUAGUGUUCUGUCCCACACCUCCUUCUAUCAUUCCAGGGACGAAAGGCAGCAAAGACCCUGUACGCUUGCUCCACUAUGCUGGACAACCAGUAUUAGUGGAACUGCCCACUGUGGGGCAAGUGCCCCUAACCUUAAAGAUCCCCCUUAACUUUCAUGCCUGGGUGGCCACAGAUGCCCAUGGGAAGGAGCAUUGUAUCGAUACCCAAUGGAUUGUCCCAUCCUUCUAAGUGGGCCUUCAUGUCCUGAAUUAAAGUUGUUCCGAUGUUCAGUGGCUGAUGGGAAUAUGGUUUUUUUUCUGUACCCCACUAGCUGGAUUCUAACAAGCAUAUCAGUUAAGAUGCACAAUAUAACCCCAACCCUCUGCUAUAGCGCUAAGACCAUAGCUGCUUGGUUGCUUGCUUAUGUCUUUGUUACUUUUGUAUUUCUGACUAGCGAUGCUGUGUUGAAUUUUCAGGAUUCCUCAGCUGCGGGGAGGACAUAGGGAGCUUGGCAGCAGACCGCGUUGGAGUUCUUGCAGCGGCACCUACGCCACGUAAGAGCAAGAGGUCGCUGUAAACUUAUUCGCCUUUUUACGCACAAUGAGCAUGUUCUGCUGAUCUACGGAUGCUUUAAUCAGAGCAAUUCCAGUCAAGAGAGCUUGAAGUUUAAGGCUAGUUUGUAUGCCUCUAUAAUAAGUAACACAUCCUGCACAUGGCCUGUAUGAGGUCGUUUUACCGAAGCUGCAUGAGCACUUUGGAGGGUCACCUCAGCCUCUCGGAUGGAUCCCAACCACUAGCAGCACUGGUUGACAUCUCCUUCAAUCCCAUCCCUCUAAUCAUUGUUUAGUUUUGUAUAUAUUUUGCAGGUUAUCAGAAGCCCACGGCAGGACUUAUGUUUUCAGUUGAUGAGUGGGCUGUUAUCUGUAUUGUUUGUUUGAUUUUGCUUGUGGUAUUUUUAUGGUACAGCAGGGAAAGAUGGUUUGGAACUCCUCCCUCCUUGCCUUUCUUACCUUUGGUGCAUCUGGACAAGGAGAAAGGACCUCCAAUUUAGCUUGGGAAGUGAUACAAGGAUUCAUACAUGUCUGGAAUAGAACGGAUCAGGGGAUCUGUAAUCAGAUUCCUACUUUUGCAGAGCAGGGGAUUAGACUCGGUUUGAUACCCAUGAGGCUCAAUAUUGGAAAAUAUAAUAUGAGCAAUGGCAUUAUAGGGUUAGUAGAUGCUCCGUUUGAGUAUCAAUAUUGAAGUGAUUAUACCUCCUCUAGCAGAUGGUGGCGAGAUGAAGCAGCCUUCUGUGAGAUCCCUUGGGACAUGGGGUGGCCUGACUUAAUAAACAAAACUUGUAAGCGAUGGAGAUUGGAGGUCGGUCGCGAAAUUGGUGUUAGUCAUAGCCCACCGUGUCCUCCAGGAUUCAAGGAAGCCUAUUCCAGACGAUUCCCACCUUCUCCGUCCUGGUGGAGAAUAACAGGCUGCCCUUCCUAUCACAAUAUAUCUGGUAAUCUAGUGCCCUUUUGGCCUGCUUCCCCGGAAAUUACCCCUUUUGAAUUACAAUAUAAUGUAAGAUGGGAUUCGGCUUGGUGUGUUCACAUACCUGACGGGAAGGGACAGUAUCUUUUAAUGAAUAACGCCCACACUGCUUGGGGAUGGUUAGUGAAACACAUGUUAAAAAACCAACCUCUUCACUUAUUAAAGAAAGAAGUCGUGGGCACGCCCAACGCCAAUGAUGCCCAUUUGUUAAACUGUACCCCCAUUAUAGAUUGUACCACAGGUGCUGGCAAUCCCAUUGAAACGUGGAUCUUUGGAAGUUAGAGCCUUAAUUCGAGAUAUGUGCACCUGUUGGACAUAUCCUAAUUUUGGAUACCGAAACCGAGAUAGCCAGUGUAAUCAGAUCACCAGUAAUGUUAAUAUCUGGCUAAAAUGUGGAAUUCCCAUUAACCACUUGCCAAGACAUCAGGUGGGGGAGGAUAAUCAAAUACCCCGGGGAGACGCAGCUACUUGUCAAAACGCUUUGUAUGCCGCCCCUGAGGGGACCGUCUGGGGGUGCUCAGAUGGGAGAAUGUGCUCGCCCUUGAAUGUUAUCAAACGGGCUGGAUUGCGGUGUGGUUUGGGAACUGCUACUAUGUGUCCCAGGCGAAUCUUUGAAUAUACCACACCACCUAUUCACAGGAAAAAAACUAGAACUUGAUGACCCAAGUAGCACCCAGAAGUGGAUUCAAAGCAUUCUAAAACCCGAUUAUUAUACCUGGGGACAGAAGGUAUCAUUAGAGCUAGAAGCAUUCUUUGCACCAUCCUGUAUAUUGUUCAGCACCAGUGGGUGCUAGAAAACCUAACUUGGCAAGUACGUGUAUUAAGUGAUUGGACUCGAUAUGUCUUUGGGGAACUAAAUCUGCAAGUGCAACAAGUAUCAAAAAUGGCAUUACAGAAUCGUUUAGCCUUAGGUAUGUUAUUGUUAAAAGAAUAAGGUGCGUGUGUGGUAUGUUAAACUUGACUGAAUCUGAAUGUUGUAUUACCAUUCAUAAUGCCACGACCUCAGUUGAAGAAGCCCGGGCAAAGAUGAAGGAGAUUGCUGACCAGACGGGGGAACUCUUCCACGCAAUGCAACUAGCUGACUGGUUUGAUGGCUGGAGUCCCAACUCAUGGCUACAUUCCAUUUUGGGAUCCUUGGGACUGAUGGGAUGGGGAAAAUGGCUUGUAAAUAUUUGACUUACGAUAUUAAUUGGAUUUACACGUUUAAUAGCAGGCCUUGCCACAGUAAGAUGUAUGAUUAGCUGCUUACUAUCCUCAGCUGUCUCUCUUCUCCUACUGUCCGCUAUACUAAAAUUACCACAGACAAAGAUGAUAUGAAUGAGAAUCAAAGUCCAGUGACUGUUUGAGCCACAGGGUGGUGUGACACUCUGACAAAUUACAGUCAAUGUCUCAAACAUUUGUUAAAGAACUUUGGUGGAGAAAACGGCCUCUGUAAAAAUGCUGGAGUCUUGUGAACAGGACAGUGUGGCCAGAGGAGAGUGCCCCAUGGAGGGUGGGACCGCGCUUCUCCAAAGCCGCAAUUCCUUAUCUUAAGUGACCAGGAGAAGGAGCACAGCAUAUGCGCCUGGAGAAGGAGGCCCCACGGAAGAUCACAGCUACUAUUGCCAACAAGGUGUAAAAGUACUGAGGGGGAGAGGGUUUUGCCGCUUCUCCCCGAGAAGCAUGGAUGAUGGGUUUAUCCCUGUGGUGCUUGAGCAAGGGCUUCCUCUGCGUGCGUGAGAGCUCUCCCGGUAAGAAGAGCCCGCGGGGCCGUAGGUUGGUGCAGCCGCUCCGCGAGGGGUGUUGCACUUGGCCUGGAAAGAGUGUUUGGAGAGCUGCCGGGUGCCAGUCAAGAGGUCACCAGGCCCCUCCGCUGCUCACAAAAUCAGUGCUGUAGAUCGCAGGGGCGCAGGAGAGCACACAGGGGAACGAUCCCCUGCUUGCCUUGCUCUUAUGUGCCAUGCUGGGCUUCACCCACAGGCACGGGACCUGAGGCUAGACCGACUUUUGGGCUGAUGCAAUCUUCCUGCUGGGAGAACAGCAGGACUGGAGUCUUUUCCCCUCUCCCCCCUCAUUUGUCACAGACUCGCUGACAGCAUGCAGGUGACCUAACUUUAGACACCUGAGCUACUGACCCCUGCUCCAGCCCCCUCAUCGUCUUUGUGGCCCUGCUCUGGACCCACUCCAGCAGGUCCAUGUCUGUCUUAUGCUCUUUACCACUGUACGCCCCAGGGGAUAAAAAGCAGGGGAGAACCUCAGCUAAAGUCAAUCUGAUAGAAAAGACCCAGACUGUCUCUGUGCAAAAGACCAAAGCAGAGAGGGGAAGCUGGGGAGCACCCUCAGUCACCGCUGAGCACGAGAGGUGACGGAAGAUGUGGUUAGGCAAAGGGCUCUCUCUGAGUCCAUUAAAUGGGCUGCCAACUCCCGCUUUGCAGCAA
This is a long non-coding RNA of Aquila chrysaetos chrysaetos, 5083 nucleotides long. RefSeq lists it as uncharacterized. NCBI's taxonomy places the organism in Eukaryota, Metazoa, Chordata, Aves, Accipitriformes, Accipitridae. The transcript is spliced from 2 exons. The record is from RefSeq and is a predicted model, not a curated record.